UACGUAGGGGGCGAGCGUUGUCCGGAAUGAUUGGGCGUAAAGGGCGCGUAGGCGGCUUGUUAAGUCUGGAGUGGAAGUCCUCUUUUCAAGGGAGGAAUUGCUUUGGAAACUGGCGGGCUUGAGUGCAGGAGAGGUUAUCGGAAUUCCCGGUGUAGCGGUGAAAUGCGUAGAGAUCGGGAGGAACACCAGUGGCGAAGGCGGGUAACUGGACUGCAACUGACGCUGAGGCGCGAAAGUGUGGGGAGCAAACAGG
Molecule: ribosomal RNA, 253 nt
Filed under: uncultured bacterium
Lineage: Bacteria
Description: partial 16S ribosomal RNA
Rfam family: Bacterial small subunit ribosomal RNA
Source: RNAcentral